This 481-nucleotide ribosomal RNA is filed under the name uncultured Methanolinea sp. Its description in RNAcentral is "bacterial SSU rRNA". It matches the Rfam family "Archaeal small subunit ribosomal RNA", at positions 857 to 1338 of the family's 1478-position model. Lineage: Archaea; Methanobacteriati; Methanobacteriota; Methanomicrobia; Methanomicrobiales; Methanoregulaceae. The record is from RNAcentral.
CAAAUGAAUUGACGGGGAGCACCACAACAGGUGGAGCCUGCGGUUUAAUCGGACUCAACGCCGGGAAACUCACCAGAUAAGACAGCUGAAUGAUAGUCGGGCUGAAGACUCUACCUGACUAGCUGAGAGGAGGUGCAUGGCCGUCGUCAGUUCGUACUGUGAAGCAUCCUGUUAAGUCAGGCAACGAGCGAGACCCACGCCCACAGUUGCCAGCGUACUCUCCGGAGUGACGGGUACACUGUGGGGACCGCCGCUGCUAAAGCGGAGGAGGGAAUGGGCAACGGUAGGUCAGUAUGCCCCGAAUAUCCCGGGCUACACGCGAGCUACAAUGGUUGGUACAAUGGGUAUCUACCCCGAAAGGGGACGGGAAUCUCCUAAAACCAAUCUUAGUUCGGAUUGAGGGCUGCAACUCGCCCUCAUGAAGCUGGAAUCCGUAGUAAUCGCGUUUCAACAGAACGCGGUGAAUACGUCCCUGCUCCUU